CCUAUGGGGGGCAGCAGGCGCGAAAACUUUACAAUGCGGGCAACCGUGAUAAGGAAACCCCGAGUGCCAGCACAGGCUGGCUGUCCGCCAGUGUAACAAACUGGUGAAGAAAGGGCCGGGCAAGACCGGUGCCAGCCGUGGUGGCCGCUUUUACUGGGCUUAAAGGGUCCGUAGCUGGAUUCACGGGUCCCUUGAGAAAUCUAUCGGCUUAACUGAUAGGCGUUCAGGGGAAACUGUGGUUCUAGGGACCGGGAGAGGUGAGAGGUACUGCCGGGGUAGGAGUGAAAUCCUGUAAUCCCGGUGGGACGACCUAUGGCGAAGGCAUCUCACCAGAACGGCUCCGACAGUGAGGGACGAAAGCUGGGGGAGCAAACCGGAUUAGAUACCCGCGUAGUCC
RNAcentral lists this ribosomal RNA (397 nucleotides) under uncultured Methanospirillum sp. Its description in RNAcentral is "bacterial SSU rRNA". It matches the Rfam family "Archaeal small subunit ribosomal RNA", at positions 322 to 747 of the family's 1478-position model. Lineage: Archaea; Methanobacteriati; Methanobacteriota; Methanomicrobia; Methanomicrobiales; Methanospirillaceae. The record is from RNAcentral.